Molecule: long non-coding RNA, 1508 nt
Organism: Rosa rugosa (rugosa rose)
Lineage: Eukaryota; Viridiplantae; Streptophyta; Magnoliopsida; Rosales; Rosaceae
Exons: 3
Source: RefSeq, a predicted model, not a curated record
CAGAGUUCUCUGACCGAGGCGAACGCGACCCGCGACUGGGUCCGAUUGGAAAUCGCUUCUCCGGCCACCUCUCCGCGGCGGACCACCGGCAACAGCUUCGUCUCAGUGGGGCCUACGUCCCUGUGGUCUCAGAUUGUACAUGCAGCGACUGUGAAGGGAGAAUCGACGGUGAGAGUGUCUGACUGUUCCGGCGAAUUCAAGCGAUUUCCGGCCACCUUCUGGGCCGCAUUCGCUCGGGUUCGACACUGCUGCUUACGCCGGCGACAUUCCUGACGGUUCUCAGUUCGUUUCUGUUUGGUUUCUGGUACGAUUGCUUCUGUAGACGAGGUCUAACCCUGUUUGGAAGUCCAGUUUUCAAGAUUCCUGCGUGAAACGUCAAAGCUUUGGUAUCAGUUCGUCCUCGGGUUUCCAGAAAGCUGAUGCGAGGGAGUUGGAACCCAGACUGCAAAUCGGACUUGUUGAAGGUAAACUCGGAAGUUCUGCUCAAAUCGUUAUCCCUGAAAGCUAAGGGACUAAGUUGGUUAUGCGAUGUUGACUGCAUGAACAGAAUGGGUGUUUGUGUCUUGGUUUGGGUAGAUGAAGUUGUAUGGUUUGGUGAUUUGGGAUUAAUUGUUUCUGGUUUUGCAAGUUAAAGUCUUGUUAGUAUGGGUAAGGCAGGUUAUUCGAAAUGAUUGUGAAAAGUUUGAGAAAUGGGUAAGUUAGGAUCUUGGGUGUCCUUAGUGUUUUGAGUACACCAUAUUUGAGAUUAAAAUUGUGAACUGGGUGUCCAUAGUAAAUUCCAUCGAAUUACUAUGCGACAAAAUGUGAAUUGGAAGUAAAAGACCAAGUGUCGGAUGAAUUGAGAUAAAUCGUUGAAGAAAUCGGAAACAUGAUCUUUGUUUGUGCAUAUGUUAAAUUGAUAGUGAGUAAAGAAAAGAAAUUAAUAUAUAUAUUGGGUGACCUUAGUGAAUCGGGUGCACUCAAUAUAUGUUUAGUCGAUAUUGUAAUUUCAAGUAAAUGUUCGAUAAUUCGAGUUAAUUAUCGAACUUGUCGCGGUUGGUCAAACAAUGGUCAAAAUGGUUAACUCCUGGUCAAACCAGGAAAAGUUGGUUGGACGAUUUAUUAAUCGUCGAUAUUUCAUAUAAUUGUUCAAUAUGAUAUUAACGGUCGAAAUGUCGGAAUCUAGGACUCCAGUUACCCGAGGAACGGAAGGUUCGUGACUCUCGGAGUACGUGAGAGAAAGCGUCGGAAUCCAGUAUGGAUGCAGGUACUGUGCACUGGUAACGGGACAAUGGCGGACGGAGCUGGGUGUGCAGAACAAGUUUGGUAAACCCCCUUCUGGGCUUUAUUCUGAUUACUAUUUCCCGAACUUUGUGUCCUGAAACUUGUGUGAAACUAUUCUUGGGUCAAACCUAGCUAAAUUCUUAUUCCUUAAAUUUUGUAUCUCUUGAGUGAGCUUUCAUUUCAAGUCUAGACGAACAAAUUGAACCUAGCGAUUCAAGGAUUUUCACCUCAAAAAUAUUGGUAGC